This 520-nucleotide ribosomal RNA is filed under the name uncultured Glomus. RNAcentral describes it as "SSU rRNA". It matches the Rfam family "Eukaryotic small subunit ribosomal RNA", at positions 569 to 1089 of the family's 1831-position model. The record is from RNAcentral. Lineage: Eukaryota; Fungi; Glomeromycota; Glomeromycetes; Glomerales; Glomeraceae.
AGCAGCCGCGGUAAUUCCAGCUCCAAUAGCGUAUAUUAAAGUUGUUGCAGUUAAAAAGCUCGUAGUUGAAUUUCGAGACCGGCUUACUGGUCGUGCUAUUGUACGUACUGGUAUAAUCGGUUUCUCCUUUCCGACGAACUAUAAUGCCAUUAAUUUGGUGUUUUAGGGAAUCAGGACUGUUACUUUGAAAAAAUUAGAGUGUUUAAAGCAGGCUACACGCUUGAAUACAUUAGCAUGGAAUAACGGAAUAGGACGUUUGAUUCUAUUUUGUUGGUUUCUAGGAUCGACGUAAUGAUUAAUAGGGAUAGUUGGGGGCAUUAGUAUUCAAUUGUCAGAGGUGAAAUUCUUGGAUUUAUUGAAGACUAACUACUGCGAAAGCAUUUGCCAAGGAUGUUUUCAUUAAUCAAGAACGAAAGUUAGGGGAUCGAAGACGAAUCAGAUACCGUCGUAGUCUUAACCAUAAACUAUAGCCGACUAGGGAUCGGAUGAUGUAAUUUUUAAUGACUCAUUUCGGCGCCUU